Terrapene triunguis (Three-toed box turtle) is the source of this 343-nucleotide non-coding RNA. NCBI's taxonomy places the organism in Eukaryota, Metazoa, Chordata, Testudines, Emydidae. The record is from the annotation of a RefSeq genome assembly.
AUGGUGGGGUUUCUGGAAAUUCUCUUCACUUUCCUCUUGCCAUCUGUGCUGUGGGCCAUUCACUUGGAGCAGGAACCAAUCUCCAUCACAAAGGAGCCACGUGUGAGCAGCACUGCUGAAUUCACCUGCAAAGUGUCUGGCGGGUCAGAGUCUACCUAUAUCCACUGGUACCGAGCCCCAACUGGAGGGGCACCGCAAAGGCUGCUCUACCUUUCUUACUCCAAGCCUCAAAGCUGGGACACCGGCUUCUCCAUCGAAAAAGUCACCGCCUAUUUUCAAGGCAAUAAAAUCUGCAAACUGUUGGUGCACAAGCUGGAAAAGGCAGACAGCGGCCACUAUUACU